This 167-nucleotide non-coding RNA is filed under the name human gut metagenome. The record is from RNAcentral.
GAGGUACCCUCAAAAGAGUUUAAACCGGAAACAGGUGCAAAUCCUGUACGAGCCCGUCACCGUGAUCACGUCAUACCGCCAUAACCGAGGACCGCACUCGGAGCCAUUGGGAAACUGAGAAGGCAUGGAGGGAAUAUUCGUGUAAGCCGGGAUACCUGCCUCGAGUU